GAUGAACGCUGGCGGCGUGCCUAAUACAUGCAAGUCGAGCGAACAGACGAGGAGCUUGCUCCUCUGACGUUAGCGGCGGACGGGUGAGUAACACGUGGAUAACCUACCUAUAAGACUGGGAUAACUUCGGGAAACCGGAGCUAAUACCGGAUAAUAUAUUGAACCGCAUGGUUCAAUAGUGAAAGACGGUUUUGCUGUCACUUAUAGAUGGAUCCGCUCCGCAUUAGCUAGUUGGUAAGGUAACGGCUUACCAAGGCAACGAUGCGUAGCCGACCUGAGAGGGUGAUCAGCCACACUGGAACUGAGACACGGUCCAGACUCCUACGGGAGGCAGCAGUAGGGAAUCUUGCGCAAUGGGCGAAAGCCUGACGGAGCCACGCCGCGUGAGUGAUGAAGGUCUUCGGGUUGUAAAACUCUGUUAUUAGGGAAGAACAAAUGUGUAAGUAACUAUGCACGUCUUGACGGUACCUAAUCAGAAAGCCACGGCUAACUACGUG
RNAcentral lists this ribosomal RNA (497 nucleotides) under uncultured bacterium. Its description in RNAcentral is "partial 16S ribosomal RNA". It matches the Rfam family "Bacterial small subunit ribosomal RNA", at positions 28 to 507 of the family's 1533-position model. The record is from RNAcentral.